This 233-nucleotide ribosomal RNA is filed under the name uncultured bacterium. RNAcentral describes it as "partial 16S ribosomal RNA". It matches the Rfam family "Bacterial small subunit ribosomal RNA", at positions 99 to 334 of the family's 1533-position model. The record is from RNAcentral.
CGGACGGGUGAGUAAUGUAUGGGGAUCUGCCUGAUGGCGGGGGAUAACUACUGGAAACGGUAGCUAAUACCGCAUAAUGUCUGCGGACCAAAGCGGGGGGACCUCCGGGCCUCGCGCCAUCAGAUGAACCCACAUGGGAUUAGCUUGUAGGUAAGGUAACGGCUUACCUAGGCGACGAUCCCUAGCUGGUCUGAGAGGAUGACCAGCCACACUGGAACUGAGACACGGUCCAG